GCUCGUGUGGUGUAGCCCGGCCCAUCAUUUCGGAUUUUCAUUCCGACGACCCGGGUUCGAAUCCCGGCCCGAGCA
RNAcentral lists this transfer RNA (75 nucleotides) under Methanobacteriota archaeon. RNAcentral's name for it is "Euryarchaeota archaeon tRNA-Glu". It matches the Rfam family "tRNA". Rfam says of the family: Transfer RNA (tRNA) molecules are approximately 80 nucleotides in length. Their secondary structure includes four short double-helical elements and three loops (D, anti-codon, and T loops). Further hydrogen bonds mediate the characteristic L-shaped molecular structure. tRNAs have two regions of fundamental functional importance: the anti-codon, which is responsible for specific mRNA codon recognition, and the 3' end, to which the tRNAs corresponding amino acid is attached (by aminoacyl-tRNA synthetases). tRNAs cope with the degeneracy of the genetic code in two manners: having more than one tRNA (with a specific anti-codon) for a particular amino acid; and 'wobble' base-pairing, i.e. permitting non-standard base-pairing at the 3rd anti-codon position. Lineage: Archaea; Methanobacteriati; Methanobacteriota. The record is from RNAcentral. RNAcentral also lists the same sequence under 3 other names.